AGGAUGAACGCUGGCGGCGUGCUUAACACAUGCAAGUCGAACGAUGAAGGCUGGAGCUUGCUCUGGCUGGAUUAGUGGCGAACGGGUGAGUAACACGUGAGUAACCUGCCCCAGACUCUGGGAUAAGCGCUGGAAACGGCGUCUAAUACCGGAUACGAGCUUCCACCGCAUGGUGAGGAGCUGGAAAGAAUUUCGGUCUGGGAUGGACUCGCGGCCUAUCAGCUUGUUGGUGAGGUAAUGGCUCACCAAGGCGACGACGGGUAGCCGGCUGAGAGGGUGACCGGCCA
This 287-nucleotide ribosomal RNA is filed under the name uncultured soil bacterium. RNAcentral's name for it is "partial 16S ribosomal RNA". It matches the Rfam family "Bacterial small subunit ribosomal RNA", at positions 26 to 310 of the family's 1533-position model. The record is from RNAcentral.